UACGGAGGGGGCUAGCGUUGUUCGGAAUUACUGGGCGUAAAGCGCACGUAGGCGGCUUUGUAAGUUAGAGGUGAAAGCCCAGGGCUCAACCCUGGAAUUGCCUUUAAGAGUGCAUCGCUUGAACAUCGGAGAGGUAAGUGGAAUUCCGAGUGUAGAGGUGAAAUUCGUAGAUAUUCGGAAGAACACCAGUGGCGAAGGCGACUUACUGGACGAUUGUUGACGCUGAGGUGCGAAAGCGUGGGGAGCAAACAGG
This 253-nucleotide ribosomal RNA is filed under the name uncultured bacterium. RNAcentral's name for it is "partial 16S ribosomal RNA". It matches the Rfam family "Bacterial small subunit ribosomal RNA", at positions 524 to 776 of the family's 1533-position model. The record is from RNAcentral.